AUACGGAGGAUCCGAGCGUUAUCCGGAUUUAUUGGGUUUAAAGGGAGCGUAGAUGGAUGUUUAAGUCAGUUGUGAAAGUUUGCGGCUCAACCGUAAAAUUGCAGUUGAUACUGGAUAUCUUGAGUGCAGUUGAGGCAGGCGGAAUUCGUGGUGUAGCGGUGAAAUGCUUAGAUAUCACGAAGAACUCCGAUUGCGAAGGCAGCCUGCUAAGCUGCAACUGACAUUGAGGCUCGAAAGUGUGGGUAUCAAACAGGAUUAGAUACCCUGGUAGGCCACACGGUAAACGAUGAAUACUCGCUGUUUGCGAUAUACGGCAAGCGGCCAAGCGAAAGCGUUAAGUGUUCCACCUGGGGAGUACGGCGGCAACGGUGAAACUCAAAGGAAUUGACGGGG
RNAcentral lists this ribosomal RNA (393 nucleotides) under uncultured bacterium. RNAcentral's name for it is "partial 16S ribosomal RNA". It matches the Rfam family "Bacterial small subunit ribosomal RNA", at positions 523 to 918 of the family's 1533-position model. The record is from RNAcentral.